CUUACGGGAGGCAGCAGUAGGGAAUUUUCCGCAAUGGGCGAAAGCCUGACGGAGCAAUACCGCGUGAGGGAUGACUGCCUAUGGGUUGUAAACCUCUUUUUUCAGGGAGGAAUUAAUGACGUGUACCUGAAGAAUAAGCAUCGGCUAACUCC
This 152-nucleotide ribosomal RNA is filed under the name uncultured Synedra. RNAcentral's name for it is "partial 16S ribosomal RNA". It matches the Rfam family "Bacterial small subunit ribosomal RNA", at positions 338 to 504 of the family's 1533-position model. Lineage: Eukaryota; Bacillariophyta; Fragilariophyceae; Fragilariales; Fragilariaceae. The record is from RNAcentral.